Molecule: unclassified non-coding RNA, 253 nt
Filed under: uncultured Alphaproteobacteria bacterium
Lineage: Bacteria; Pseudomonadati; Pseudomonadota; Alphaproteobacteria
Description: contains 16S-23S intergenic spacer region
Rfam family: Bacterial small subunit ribosomal RNA
Source: RNAcentral
UACGAAGGGAGCGAGCGUUGUUCGGAAUCACUGGGCUUAAAGCGUACGUAGGCGGACAGGAAAGUCAGGAGUGAAAGCCCUGGGCUUAACCCGGGAAUUGCUUUUGAAACUCCCUGUCUGGAAUCCGGUAGAGGUUGGCGGAACUCCGAGUGUAGAGGUGAAAUUCGCAGAUAUUCGGAAGAACACCAGUGGCGAAGGCGGCCAACUGGACCGGUAUUGACGCUGAGGUACGAAAGCGUGGGUAGCAAACAGG